GAUGAACGCUGGCGGCGUGCCUAAUACAUGCAAGUCGAGCGAACAGACGAGGAGCUUGCUCCUCUGACGUUAGCGGCGGACGGGUGAGUAACACGUGGAUAACCUACCUAUAAGACUGGGAUAACUUCGGGAAACCGGAGCUAAUACCGGAUAAUAUAUUGAACCGCAUGGUUCAAUAGUGAAAGACGGUUUUGCUGUCACUUAUAGAUGGAUCCGCGCCGCAUUAGCUAGUUGGUAAGGUAACGGCUUACCAAGGCAACGAUGCGUAGCCGACCUGAGAGGGUGCUCGGCCACACUGGAACUGAGACCCGGUCCCGACUCCUACGGGAGGCAGCCGUCGGGAAUCUUCCGCAAUGGGCGAAAGCCUGACGGAGCAACGCCGCGUGAGUGAUGAAGGUCUUCGGUUCGUAAAGCUCUGUUAUUAGGGAAGAACAAAUGUGUAAGUAACUAUGCACGUCUUGACGGUACCUAAUCAGAAAGCCACGGCUAACUACGUG
RNAcentral lists this ribosomal RNA (497 nucleotides) under uncultured bacterium. RNAcentral's name for it is "partial 16S ribosomal RNA". It matches the Rfam family "Bacterial small subunit ribosomal RNA", at positions 28 to 507 of the family's 1533-position model. The record is from RNAcentral.